This is a long non-coding RNA of Platichthys flesus (European flounder), 2814 nucleotides long. RefSeq lists it as uncharacterized. The record is from RefSeq and is a predicted model, not a curated record. Lineage: Eukaryota; Metazoa; Chordata; Actinopteri; Pleuronectiformes; Pleuronectidae. The transcript is spliced from 8 exons.
AAUGUCGAAGAAAUACUGCAGCGUGGAGGGAUGCAAGCGAAAGAAUGUGACUUUACAUGUUCUUCCUAGCAACGUUACAAUUCGAGACCAGUGGUUACUCUUCGUUUUUUCUGAAGGGCCGGAGUGUUCCAGGAAAAAUGUGUUGGUUUGCUCGGCUCAUUUUACCACCGACUGCUUCCUCAAUUUACAACAGUACAACGCUGGGUUCAGCAAGAGAUUAGUCCUUAAGGAUGGAGCAGUCCCCACACUCCAAGAUUCUCAACCAGGUACAUCACAGCAGACAUUGACCACCCAUAAACACUUGGGGACCCAAACAGACCCUCCAGCUACAAGACCUGUUGCUACACAAAUUUCCAAGGGAACUCUGAAGGAACAUGUGAGAAGCAAAGGCACGCAGGCCUCAGUGACUUGCAGAAACAUAGGGGUUGGCUCCAGCACCUUUCUCCACACAUUUGGGGAGUCUACAAAGUCUUCAAAACUAGUCAGAGGGAAUGUCAGCUUUGUCCAAGGCAAAAGACCAGCCAAAAGACCACGUGUCGAGACACUGGAGGAUGAGGCUGUAUCUUUUGCCAUUCUUGAGCCUCACGACUCGACAUACAACCUGCAACACUCUGUGACUGCUGUUACAGAUACAUCACAAAUUUAGUAAAUGUGCUUUAAAUGUCUGUUUUUUUUGGGCAAGUAAAACAGGUCAUUCACAUUUGAUAGUUGAAUAUGUUUCAGAUUGUAUUUUCAAAAGAGAAAUUGAUUUGAAAAUAUAAAUGUAACAAUAUACUAAACACAGAUCCUCUCAAAGCCCUUCCUAUGGUGAAAAAUAAUACAUCAUCUAUUGAAGCUGCCUCUUCAAGCUCUUUGAGAACUGCCCAGUCUGCCAACGGGUGUGUGAAAUCACCCCAAGAAGCCGAGGAACUUUCGUGGCCAUUGAUCAACUCUGCAGACACUGCAGCUUCUUUAGACAAUGGAAGAGUCCCAGUUUUUGGAAGCACCCCUGCGGGGAACAUUCACCUGUCUGCUGCAAUUUCUUUCUUCCAACUGGAGAAGAUAUUUAAGGCAAUGCACAUCGGUGUCUUUCAAAACGACACAUUUCGAAGACAUGCACGUAUGUACCUGGAACCCAGUAUCAUCCAUAAAUGGAAGAUAGGCCAGGAGGUGCUUCUGCAACAGCUAAGCCAAAAAGACAGCAUCUUCAUUGGAGUGGACAUGAGGACGGACUCACUCGGACACCCUACAAAGUAUGGCAGCUACAGUUUGAUGCACCUAGAGAGAAAUACAAUAAUUGACAUCCAACUGGUGCAGGCGAGAUACAUUGGUCCUACAUUUUCCACAUAAAAUAUGAUCAGAACAAUGAAGUUUGCGGGAGUAACCACAUGGAGCGUGAGGGCCUAAAAAGGAGCCUAGAACACCUUGCAGAAAAUGGUAUAACAUUUGACUACCUAGUCACCGACCGCCACCCACAAGUCCAGAAAUACCUAAAAGACAAUGACAUCAAGCAUUUUUAUGACAUCUGGCAUCUUGAAAAGGGUGAGGUUUUGUGUAUGCUUAUGUUUUUGAUGAAAUAAGAUGUCUUUUGUAUGGUUAUUUGUGAGUUCACGUGUCAUAUUUAUCUACUGGUCCCUUUAAGAACCUUUACAAUUUAACAAGGCUUAUCAAAGAAGCUUGACAAGAUAUCAAAGGACAAAGACUGCCAACUCCUAAAGUAGUGGCAGCAAAGUAUCAAGAACCAUGUGUACUGGACUGCUACAUCUUCAAGCUCUGGUCCAGAGCAAGUGGUGAGGUGGCUGUCUCUUGUAAAUCACCUCCAAGAUGUCCAAACACAUGAAGACCUGUUCUUCCCGAGUUGUGAACCGCCAGUGACACCAACAACUACCCGGAGCAAGUGGUUUGAGCCAGGUUCACAAUCACUCUACAAAGUAGAGAAGGCCCUGCUAAACAAGAGGGUCCUGAAGGACGGGGAGAAGUUGAGCCUGCAACACCAGACUUCAUCUUUGGAGGCGUUUCAUAGUGUUAUCCUAUCGUUUGCCCCAAAAAAUGUUGUCUUCCCAUUCAUGCUUUGCAGAUCCUGGGUCCAGCAGCCACAUCUUGGAUUAUGAUGGGGGUUCGCAUAUCGUGUUGGCAUCUGAUAGUGGUGGAGGACCACGAUCGAGGUGGCAGCUGAUGGUGGAUCCUGACGGCAGCAGUGGAUCAUGAUUGUGUACUAUGGUGCCAUCCGAUCGUGAUGGUUGAUCCUGAUCGUGGUGGCUAACGACCAUGGAUUAUGAUUACAACAAGACUGCUUGAUAUACAAUAUUUCUCCUCAGAUACCCGAACAUUACUGACAAUAAUCAAUCAAUUAAUUUACCUUCCAUUAUGCUACAAAGGGUUUAUUCUAAUCAAUGCUGCAAGUACUCUUAUUUUUCUGAGGUUAUCAAUUACACUUGCAAUCGAUUGCACUUCUGUCAGUACUGGGAAAGGGAUCCGACACAUUUGGCUCUCUCUGAGGGUUGUUAAAGCCCUAUGAGACAAAUUUUGAUUUCUGAAUAUGGGCUAUACAAAUAAAAUUUGAUUGAUUGACACAAGGGAAUUAAUACCCUCACUUUUCUGCUCAGAUGGCCCCAGCACCAGCUGACAAAACUUCUGUAUGACAGAUGCCUGUAACAACUGAAAGGUGGGGAGCAAACAGUUAUUGCACUUUGUUGAUUGAACAUCAGGACCUCACUGCAGUGAAGUUUGUGUUAUUACAUUUUUAAUUUUUUUAUUCAAAGAUUUGUAUGCACAGCACUGUGUGAUGCUUGCAAGUUGCUGUGUAAGUUCUGUAAUAAAUACAUUUUCUACUAA